Molecule: ribosomal RNA, 642 nt
Filed under: uncultured bacterium
Lineage: Bacteria
Description: bacterial SSU rRNA
Rfam family: Bacterial small subunit ribosomal RNA
Source: RNAcentral
AAAAGGGAUUACCGGUGGCGGAUGGGCAUGCGGCGCAUUAGCUAGUCGGCGGGGUAACGGCCCACCGAGGCGACGAUGCGUAGGGGUUCUGAGAGGAAGGUCCCCCACACUGGUACUGAGACACGGACCAGACUCCUACGGGAGGCAGCAGUGAGGAAUAUUGGUCAAUGGGCGCGAGCCUGAACCAGCCAAGUCGCGUGAGGGAUGACGGUCCUACGGAUUGUAAACCUCUUUUGCCGGGGAGCAAGCGUGCGUUCGUGAACGCGCGUCGAGAGUACCCGGAGAAAAAGCAUCGGCUAACUCCGUGCCAGCAGCCGCGGUAAUACGGAGGAUGCGAGCGUUAUCCGGAUUUAUUGGGUUUAAAGGGUGCGUAGGCGGGAUGCCAAGUCAGCGGUAAAAAUGCGGUGCUCAACGCCGUCGAGCCGUUGAAACUGGCGUUCUUGAGUGGGCGAGAAGUAUGCGGAAUGCGUGGUGUAGCGGUGAAAUGCAUAGAUAUCACGCAGAACUCCGAUUGCGAAGGCAGCAUACCGGCGCCCUACUGACGCUGAGGCACGAAAGCGUGGGUAUCGAACAGGAUUAGAUACCCUGGUAGUCCACGCAGUAAGCGAUGAAUGCUAACUGUCCGGCUCGAAUGAGCGCUGG